GGCAUAAUGGCUGAUAAAAGCACAACAUUGUAAGUGUUGAAAUGAGUGAACUCUUAUGUCA
RNAcentral lists this transfer RNA (61 nucleotides) under Polyplax spinulosa (spined rat louse). RNAcentral describes it as "tRNA-Tyr". Lineage: Eukaryota; Metazoa; Arthropoda; Insecta; Psocodea; Polyplacidae. The record is from RNAcentral.